ACGAACGCUGGCGGCGUGCUUAACACAUGCAAGUCGAACGGAAAGGCCCUGCUUGCAGGGUACUCGAGUGGCGAACGGGUGAGUAACACGUGGGUGAUCUGCCCUGCACUUCGGGAUAAGCCUGGGAAACUGGGUCUAAUACCGGAUAGGAGCCAUUUUUAGUGUGAUGGUUGGAAAGUUUUUUCGGUGUAGGAUGAGCUCGCGGCCUAUCAGCUUGUUGGUGGGGUAAUGGCCUACCAAGGCGGCGACGGGUAGCCGGCCUGAGAGGGUGGACGGCCACAUUGGGACUGAGAUACGACCCAGACUCCUACGGGAGGCAGCAGUGGGGAAUAUUGCACAAUGGGCGCAAGCCUGAUGCAGCGACGCCGCGUGGGGGAUGACGGCCUUCGGGUUGUAAACUCCUUUCGCUAGGGACGAAGCUUUUUGUGACGGUACCUAGAUAAGAAGCACCGGCUAACUACGUG
This 464-nucleotide ribosomal RNA is filed under the name uncultured bacterium. RNAcentral's name for it is "partial 16S ribosomal RNA". It matches the Rfam family "Bacterial small subunit ribosomal RNA", at positions 29 to 507 of the family's 1533-position model. The record is from RNAcentral.